This 253-nucleotide ribosomal RNA is filed under the name uncultured bacterium. RNAcentral describes it as "partial 16S ribosomal RNA". It matches the Rfam family "Bacterial small subunit ribosomal RNA", at positions 524 to 776 of the family's 1533-position model. The record is from RNAcentral.
UACAGAGGGUGCAAACGUUGCUCGGAUUCACUGGGCGUAAAGGGCACGUAGGUGGUUCGGUAACUCAGUCGUGGAAUCCCGCGGCUCACCCGUGGAAUUGCGACUGAAAAUGCCGGACUUGAGAGCAGGAGGGGUGAGAGGAACUCUAGGUGGAGCGGUGAAAUGCGUAGAUAUCUAGAGGAACGCCGGAGGCGAAAGCGUCUCACUGGCCUGCUUCUGACACUGAGGUGCGAAAGCCAGGGGAGCAAACGGG